RNAcentral lists this transfer RNA (73 nucleotides) under Camelus bactrianus (Bactrian camel). It matches the Rfam family "tRNA". From Rfam's summary of the family: Transfer RNA (tRNA) molecules are approximately 80 nucleotides in length. Their secondary structure includes four short double-helical elements and three loops (D, anti-codon, and T loops). Lineage: Eukaryota; Metazoa; Chordata; Mammalia; Artiodactyla; Camelidae. RNAcentral also lists the same sequence under 2 other names. The record is from Rfam by way of RNAcentral.
GAGGGUAUAGCUCAAGUGGUAGAGCACGUGCUUAGCAUGCACGAGGUCCUGGGUUCAAUCCCCAGCACCUCCA